AUACUAGGUGGACUCGUACAGAAAACCUCCCCUGUUCUUAUCAGCUUAAUAUCUGAUACGGGUUGUAUUUGGACCUAAGAUAUUGAAUUUAUUUUUGCAAGUUAGCAGAGUGCUUAAAGCCUGCUUCACCUCUGCUGCGGGUCAGCCCAGUAUUGCACUGUCUUUGGGAUUGGCCCACGUAUG
Small nuclear RNA from Dermacentor andersoni, 183 nucleotides. RefSeq annotates it as U2 spliceosomal RNA. The record is from RefSeq and is a predicted model, not a curated record. Lineage: Eukaryota; Metazoa; Arthropoda; Arachnida; Ixodida; Ixodidae.